GGGUCAUCGCUAAUGCGCCUUCGCUAGAAACGAGUAAAAACUAUUUCGAAAAGAUACGAUUAAUCUUCCAAGAAACAAAAUGAGUAAUUUUGCAACACGCCGAUAAGAUAAAAUAUUAUUCCUGAAAGAUAAAAUUAAUCAUCACGAAAUAAAAUUAAUUAUUUUAGCAACGCGCCCCAAAUUUUUCUGCUGUCAUCACACGUGGCCCAUUUUGUGCCGGAAAAAAUCUUCUCCUGGCAUAGUUCUCGCAAAAAUUACCUUUUAUUGGUCGAUCUGAUAGGCAAUAGAACCGGUUCCGACGUGGGAUCAGUAGCCGACAGCGCCGGUUCCGGUUGUGCGAGGGCGCAGGUAGACGGGUGUCUCAGGCCUGACUUCUUAGGCAAAGGUGAAGGAUACGUUGCUGGUUGUUCGAGAAAAUAAAAAGGCGGAAGAGCAGCAGUGAAAGGCGUCUCUUGAAUCAUGAAGCGGACAACAAAUGUUAGGGCGGCUCCCGAAGGAGAAAGCGAGGGAAUUGCAAGUGGAGAUCAAAACCUGGAGGAAGCGCUCGGCUGCUCGGAAAUGAAACUUCGUGUCUGUUAUAAGUGAAAAACAAAGUGAUUUAAAAAUGUUUAAUAAAUAAACAGUUGUAAUAAAA
Long non-coding RNA from Uranotaenia lowii, 634 nucleotides. RefSeq lists it as uncharacterized. Lineage: Eukaryota; Metazoa; Arthropoda; Insecta; Diptera; Culicidae. The record is from RefSeq and is a predicted model, not a curated record. The transcript has 2 exons.